AUUGAACGCUGGCGGCAGGCCUAACACAUGCAAGUCGAGCGGAUGAAGGGAGCUUGCUCCUGGAUUCAGCGGCGGACGGGCGAGUAAUGCCUAGGAAUCUGCCCGGUAGUGGGGGAUAACGUCCGGAAACGGGCGCUAAUACCGCAUACGUCCUGAGGGAGAAAGUGGGGGAUCUUCGGACCUCACGCUAUCAGAUGAGCCUAGGUCGGAUUAGCUAGUUGGUGGGGUAAAGGCCUACCAAGGCGACGAGCCGUAACUGGUCUGAGAGGAUGAUCAGUCACACUGGAACUGAGACACGGUCCAGACUCCUACGGGAGGCAGCAGUGGGGAAUAUUGGGCAAUGGGCGAAAGCCUGAUCCAGCCAUGCCGCGUGUGUGAAGAAGGUCUUCGGAUUGUAAAGCACUUUAAGUUGGGAGGAAGGGCAGUAAGUUAAUACCUUGCUGGUUUGACGUUACCAACAGAAUAAGCACCGGCUAACUUCGUG
This 484-nucleotide ribosomal RNA is filed under the name uncultured bacterium. Its description in RNAcentral is "partial 16S ribosomal RNA". It matches the Rfam family "Bacterial small subunit ribosomal RNA", at positions 30 to 507 of the family's 1533-position model. The record is from RNAcentral.